CACACUGCGGGGACAGUCUGGAGGCUUGCAGUGACUCAGACACAGCCAAUUUCUCCCCUAAUAGCACUGAAUCACGAUUCCAGCGGCCAGUGGUCGCCCCUCGUCAAGGUCUAAGGCUGCGGCAGCCCCGGCUCCCGGAGGCCGUUUCCGCGCGCACACGCGCAUCCAUACGUACAGACGUGCUCGGGAUGCGGGUCCCGCCGGCGGGCACCUGGGCACUGCGCCCCAUCUGGACUGAAAUGGGGACACCCCUUCGGGGGUCCCAGGCUCCUGGCCAUAUUGUUCUCCUUCUCCUCGUGAUAACUCCGCAGUGGAGGUGGAUUCCGUCCAAAACGCCCCAACGUGGCUCCGCGUAGCAGUCAGCGCUGCAAUCCUGGCGGUUACCUCAGCGGCGGCGUCUCCCUCUGCGCCUCACACUCGCAGCCCGCGGCCCUCCCCAACUUAGGGCGUAAUUUACAAAAGAAACUACUCCAGACGCGCUGCAAAGGGAGGCGCUUGUGCCCGAAAGCUGGAGAUCAGACGCGGGGCCAUUCUGCAUGUGUGAUGUUUCUGGGUGGGGGGGUGGGGGUGGGGAGUGUGGGUCGGAGUCGGGGUCGCGGGGCGGGGGGGAGUCAGGCAGAAAGACCGGGAGAACCUCUGCUAUGAAGGAUCCGCGAGUCCUAAAAUGUAAGCUCCGUGUGACUAACGAUCUGCACUGAUUUGGAGAGCAGGCAUGUUAAAGGUCACGGACAAUUGUUGCUGGCUUCAGCAUGAAUGCCGAAGUGGGAUGUAUUCUUCAGCAAUCACAUUUAAGUCUGAUUCACCGAAAAGUAUUGACGUGCUCACCAUUCAUUUCAGUACACUGUGAAAAUGCACAAAGAAAGUAUCCCCAAAUUCAGUUAAUUACAAAGCUGUAAAUGGCUCGUAUACACAUAUUAUUACAUACAUGUAGGUAACAACAAAGAUUAAAGUUUGAAGACUUGACACUUUAAUAGCUUUUUGGUAGGAUUUUGGAAUGAAUAUGAGUCAGUCCUGUAAACCUACAUUCAUCUGCAUUCUUGGGUCUAUUUAAAACUACAAUCUUGCACUAACAAUUUCCACGUGUUGAAAAUGGACAAGGCAGAUCAUUGAAUGGUGAUCAAGACUUCCAAACCCCUCCACUUAAAACUGUUCGUGACUUGCUUCCUUUUUCUAGCCGGUUUAGGGCCCUGUCUUAAGUCUCACCCACAUGUGAUUUCACUCAGGGCAUUGUCUGUCUGCAAUAAUAUUGUGCUUUUAAACCAUUUCCUUUCUUACACAUUUAUCUACAGUGCAUGCGAAAUCUGAGAGCGUAAUUUGAUGGAUGGGCAAGAGUUAAGUCCUGGUGUCUGGUGUGGCCGACCUAGAAAAUGGCAGCUGGAGGGCCAGCAUCAUUUUGUUACUGACAAUUGAAACGUGUUCACAUUGAUUGUACACAAGUGACUGGUGGUUGUUCAUUUGUCAAUGCACUAUUCUUAGCUCACUCCACACACACAAAAAAAGGUAUAAAAAUCAAAUGUUUAAUAUUAAGUUUCCAUACUAUUCCUGUAACCAUAUUUAGCAUUGCCAACAUUUCAACUGUUUUAAUAGCUUCAAACACUUAAAGUAACCAUUAGGGAUUAAGGACACUGCCCCUGGAAUGGCCCAGGAAAGCUUCUGCUAUUUUGAAAGGCUUAAGUAAAUUAUAGUAUUUGGAUGGGGCAAAGUCAGCAGUAUUAAUGGUUGAAUAUUAAUGGUUGAUUUUGGCUACUUGUUUUCUUUUAGUGAUGUGAUAUUUUACACAUGUAUGGGGUACGUGUAUUUGUUACAAGCGUAGAAUGUGUAAUGAUCAAGUUGGGGCGCUUAGGGUACUCAUCACCUGGAGUAUUUAUUGUUUCUAUGCGUUGGGAACAUUUCAAGUUCUGUCUUCUAUCUAUUUCAAAAUACACAAUCCAUUGUUAUUAACUGUAGUCACUGUAGGCUGCUAUCAAAUAUUAGAACUACUCCUUCUAUCUAACUGUAUGUUUGUACCCAUUCAUUAACCUCUUCAUUUCCCCCUCCCACCCUCUACUUAUAAUUUUAUAACAGAUAAUAAUUUUGGUUAAUGAAAUAAAUGGGGGAAAGAAAGC
Molecule: long non-coding RNA, 2105 nt
Filed under: Pongo abelii (Sumatran orangutan)
Lineage: Eukaryota; Metazoa; Chordata; Mammalia; Primates; Hominidae
Description: lincRNA
Source: RNAcentral